UGGGGAAUCUUGCGCAAUGGGGGAAACCCUGACGCAGCCAUGCCGCGUGAAUGAUGAAGGUCUUAGGAUUGUAAAAUUCUUUCAGCGGGGACGAUAAUGACGGUACCCGCAGAAGAAGCUCCGGCUAACUUCGUGCCAGCAGCCGCGGUAAUACGAAGGGGGCUAGCGUUGCUCGGAAUUACUGGGCGUAAAGGGCGCGUAGGCGGACAGUUAAGUCAGAGGUGAAAGCCCAGGGCUCAACCCUGGAAUUGCCUUUGAUACUGGCUGUCUUGAGUAUGGGAGAGGUGAGUGGAACUCCGAGUGUAGAGGUGAAAUUCGUAGAUAUUCGGAAGAACACCAGUGGCGAAGGCGACUCACUGGCCCAUUACUGACGCUGAGGCGCGAAAGCGUGGGGAGCAAACAG
This 403-nucleotide ribosomal RNA is filed under the name uncultured bacterium. Its description in RNAcentral is "bacterial SSU rRNA". It matches the Rfam family "Bacterial small subunit ribosomal RNA", at positions 355 to 775 of the family's 1533-position model. The record is from RNAcentral.